CUGUAAUGAUCCGUCUGAUAAGGGUCGGACUUCCCAGCCUCCCUGAACGCAACCUAAUUUUCCCACUCUGAUUGGUAAUACGCUUCACCUGUUUGAUGCCCUUUAAAUACCUGCCUGUGACAGCGUUUCUUCGCCAGAUCGUCUUGGUUCUACCCUGCACGUUUCCAGCCGUUGUUCUACCUGUCUGCCUGCCUACCUGCCUGUUGUUGACCUUGUUUUGGACCUGGAUUAUCGUCUCUGCCUGCCCCCUGACUGGUAUCUCUGUUUGUUAUUGGAUUUCUGGAUUAUUGACCCCUGGACUGGUUUUUGGAUGUGGAUUUUGGAUCACGGAAUAAUCUACUCUGCCCAGACGGAGAUAUUCAUUAUCACCCACUUCCGUGGGUUGGAGACCCUGACCCCCGCCAAUUAUUCCCCCACUAACCUGUUCUUUACCCAGCAGUUAUCCACCCACUCCAGUGGACUCCCCGUCCGGCUUCCCGGGUUCUGCCUGUACGAUCUCACCAAACUGCACUACAGCACCCGAAGAGCUGACCGAACGAGACCGGAUAGAUCACCAGUGCACAUUUACAUUGUUCAAAUAAAUUCCUUUUUACCUUU
This is a long non-coding RNA of Melanotaenia boesemani (Boeseman's rainbowfish), 597 nucleotides long. RefSeq lists it as uncharacterized. Lineage: Eukaryota; Metazoa; Chordata; Actinopteri; Atheriniformes; Melanotaeniidae. The record is from RefSeq and is a predicted model, not a curated record. The transcript is spliced from 2 exons.